GCUAAUACCGUCAUAACAAUAAGAAUCGAAUGUUCUUAUUUGAAAGAUGGUUUCGGCUAUACACUUUAGGAUGGACCUGCGGCGUAUUAGCUAGUUGGUAAGGUAAUGGCUUACCAAGGCGAUGAUACGUAGCCGACCUGAGAGGGUGAUCGGCCACAUUGGGACUGAGACACGGCCCAA
RNAcentral lists this ribosomal RNA (180 nucleotides) under uncultured bacterium. Its description in RNAcentral is "partial 16S ribosomal RNA". It matches the Rfam family "Bacterial small subunit ribosomal RNA", at positions 162 to 334 of the family's 1533-position model. The record is from RNAcentral.